GAUCAUGGCUCGAGGAUGAACGCUGGCGGCAGGCUUAAUACAUGCAAGUUGACGGUAACAUGUUGUAGCAAUACGAUGAUGACGAGUGGCGCACGGGUGCGUAACACGUGUGUAACCUACCUUAUACAGGAACAUAACGUUGAGAAAUCGGCGCUAACAUUCCAUAAUAUUAUUUGUAGGCAUCUAUGAAUAAUUAAAACUCCGGUGGUAUAAGAUGGGCACGCGUUCCAUUAGCUAGUUGGUAAGGUAACGGCUUACCAAGGCAACGAUGGAUAGGGGUUCUGAGAGGAUAAUCCCCCACACUGGAACUGAGACACGGUCCAGACUCCUACGGGAGGCAGCAGUAAGGAAUAUUGGGCAAUGGAGGCAACUCUGACCCAGCCAUGCCCGCGUGCAGGAAGACGGCCCUAUGGGUUGUAAACUGCUUUUAAUAGGGAUUAAAGUCGACUACGUGUAGUUGUUUGCAAGUACCUAUAGAAUAAGCAUCGGCUAACUCCGUGCCAGCCGCCGC
Molecule: ribosomal RNA, 511 nt
Filed under: uncultured bacterium
Lineage: Bacteria
Description: bacterial SSU rRNA
Rfam family: Bacterial small subunit ribosomal RNA
Source: RNAcentral